GUUUAUCUGACGAGUUUUGUGCUUUGCACAAAACAUCGCAUUAUUAUAUGUGUGUGCUUUUCGGCACACACUUGAAAAAACUUUUUUCGCAAAUUGAUAUUUGCUGCAAAAAGUUUUUAUAGGA
This is a regulatory RNA element of Treponema denticola ATCC 35405, 124 nucleotides long. It matches the Rfam family "TD-1 RNA". Rfam says of the family: non coding RNA found in Treponema denticola The record is from Rfam. NCBI's taxonomy places the organism in Bacteria, Pseudomonadati, Spirochaetota, Spirochaetia, Treponematales, Treponemataceae.